RNAcentral lists this long non-coding RNA (3228 nucleotides) under Triticum aestivum (bread wheat). RNAcentral's name for it is "long non-coding RNA (TAES_LNC027409)". Lineage: Eukaryota; Viridiplantae; Streptophyta; Magnoliopsida; Poales; Poaceae. The record is from RNAcentral.
CCUCGCGCCGCUUCGCUUUUCCCCGCACACACCUGCGCCGUGGUCGCCACUGACCGCGUCGUCCUCGUGGCCACCGGCCGUAGCUCGCCAAGCCGAUGUGUUGAGGAGCCCCGAAGGGAUAUUCUUCAUCGGCUACCGCGCUGGAACGAGGCAGGGAAGCCUCAUCACCGACGCCCGCGCCGUUCCCCUUCGUCCGCAUUUGUCGGUCACCGCCGCUCGAUCCGCCGCCCUCGCUGCAACCCCGGCCCUCCCCGAGCACGUCAACGAACUCACCGUGAGCUCCUCUCCCGAUUCCCCUGCUUUUCCCCUUCAAUUUGUCGCCGUAUGCGUUGCCCCACGAGGAACAGCCACCAUCGCCGGAGUUGGCCCGUCCGUGCCCCUAGUCGGGCCCUCGCGCGUGCCCGCGCGCCUCCGUGCCCGCCCGUUUGCGCCUGAACUCGCCCCUAUGCGUGCUCCCGCGCGCCCCCCUGGUCGCCCUGCCCGUGCAUGUGAGAGCUCCGGCCGCGCACAACGCGCACGCGGCUGUUGUCCCCGCUCGCUGCUGCCGCCAUGUUGCUGCUGUUCCUUGCUGCCGCAGCUGCGUGUGCUGCUCGUUGCCGGCUGCUGCUCUAUGCUGAAGCCGCCCGUUGCCGCCGCCGCUGCUUUGCUACUGCUGCUAUCUGCUCCUGCUGCUUGCCGCUACUGUUUUGCUCUGCUUGCUUUUGCUGCUAGCGAUCUUGGCCAUGGGCGCCAAGGCCCUGUACAUGGCCGUGUGUGGCGUGUAAUGUGUGUGCGUGAGUGUGUGCACAGAGGUGUGUGUGGCCGGCCCUUGUUUGACUAGUACAGAUUAGGAUUUAAAUUAGUAGAUCAAUUAGCCUAAUGUGUAGAAGACAUGUGGGCUCCAUUUGAUUAGGUUAUUUUUUUAUUAAUUUGGCUAGGUGUAGCCUAUGGCAUGUGGGCCAUACGCCCUGUUGACUGGUCAACCUUUGACUGGGUCAACCCAGUCCCCUAGUCCCACAUGUCAGCCUUUUUGGGAGUGUAUACAGUGGGUACACAUAGCAAUUUCCCUAUUUAAUUCGAAUUAGCAGUAAUUUCAGAAAAUAGUAAAAUCUUUAGAAAUUCAUAGAAAUUAAACCAUAACUCGGAUGAAAAUGUUUUCUACAUGAAAGUUGCUCAAAAAAAAUCCAACGAAUCCGAAUACGCGGUCUGUUCAUCUGUCAGAUGCCUCUAACUAUCUGAACAUGGAACAUUCCCCCUCCGGUUAUUUGUCUGACACGGGUCCGGAACCGAGAAUACAUUCCCAGUUGUUUUCCCCCUUCACAUAUAUCGUGUAGCCAUACGUUAGGUCACACCCGGCACAUCAUAUUGCCCUGUUAUGUUUUGUGAUGCUAAAUUUGCUUUAUAUUUACUGUUUCUUCCCCCUCUUCUCUCCGGUAGACCCCGAGACCGAUGAUGCCCCUGUGAUCGACUACGUCGACGACGACCCCUCCUUGCCAGAGCAACCAGGCAAGCCCCCCCUUUGAUCAUCCCGAUAUCGCCCAUUCCAUUCUCUCAUGCUUGCAUUAGAUUUUGCUAUUGUUAUUGUUUUCUCCUAUUCUGAUGCAUAGCCUUCUUUUGUAACCUGUUUAUCCUAAACUGCUUAGUAUAGGUUGGUUAGUGAUCCAUCAGUGACCCCCACCUUGUCCUUGUUGCCCCUGCUUCAUCAUUGAAGACCCGAUCAACGGGAUCGAAGACCAGGCCUCCGCACCGCACAUCACUUUCCCCUUAGUUGCUCGACACUGCUGGGUUAUAUGGACUGCCGAGGGUGAGACCUCUACAAUACUUCUGAUGUUAACCCUAUAGUGUAGCUAUUCGGUCGUGGUAAUCGAGGGUGAUUCCGCCUUAACCACUUCCAACAUGACUCUGUCGUGCAACCCCUCAAGUGUGAACCUCGGGGGUGAUUCCUCUUACGUUCACCUUGUUGAUUACAUCGAGUGGAAUUCACCGGGGGUGAUUCCUCGGGUUUUCCCCUUGAUGUUUGGACACACGGUUACUAUGGUUACUAUGUUACACUGAACCAUGUUACUAGAGACGGGUCGACCCUGAGGGGUACCUGCGCGAGCAUAAUUGCGAGUGAUGUGGAGACGGGUUGACCUGGAAGGUGCCCGAGAGAUAAUUACGAGGCAUGGCCGGGCAUUCCUAGCCCUUGCCGCAAGUCCUCGAGACGGGGCAAUGGGGUCACAUCUUUCGUAAGUCUCUGCUUGUUACCGGGCGUUCCUAAUCCACUAUGAUUUGGAUAUUUGAUCCGAGGGGCCUCUGGCCUGAUAGCACUAACCAUCACGUGGGCAUAGUAUGGGCGUUCUGCGUCGUACGCAUCAGCCGAAGCUUAAUAGACGUCAGCGACUGAGUGGCGCGCGCCGGGUUGGACUGGUUACGCCUUCUCUUGUAUAAGGGAGGCUAGGUCUGCUCACCGGCCGCGUACGCAACGUGCAGGAGUUUUCGGGGAGAUGGCCCAUGACCCCUGGGGGCAUAGGUUUAGUCCGGCAUGUUGACCUCUCUGUUAGGUCUAGGCCGGGUUGCGGUGUAUUGUUUGGCCGAGGCCGGGCAUGACCCAGGAAAGUGUGUCCGGCCGGAGUUAAUCAAGCGUGGUGGGUAAGUUGGUGCACCCCUGCAGGGAAGAAAACAUCUAUCGAUAGCCUGUCCUACGGUAACGGACACUCGGAGUUGUAUCCCGAUCGAUACCACUAGAACUGGAUACUUGUGAUGACAAUUGGAUGAUGAUGAGAAUUGGAUUGUGAUGAUAAAUGGAUAGUAUGGCUCUGGGAUUUCUUUCUCACAGGGAGUCGAGAAAGGAUCUCUAGCCGAGGUUGAUAACACUACUACUACUUUACUUUAUGCUACUCUACUCCCUCCUGUUUGCUGGAAGAUGGUGGUUUCCAGAAGAUGCUAGUCUUCGAUAGGACUAGGCCUUCUCUCUAUUCUGGCAUUUCUGCAGCCCAGUCCAUAUAUACAACCUUCCUUUGAUAAUGUUGCAUAUGUAGUGUAGAUCCUUGCUUGCGAGUACUUUGGAUGAGUACUCACGGUUGCUUUGCUCUCCUCUUUUCCCCUUUUCCAUUCUUCUCGGAUGACACAACCAGAUGACGGAGUCCAGGAGCCAGAUGACACCUUUGACGACUGCUACUACCCCGAGGGUGCCUACUACCACGUGACGGAGACCGCCGAUGACGAGGACUAGUUAGGAGGCUCCCAGGCAGGAGGCCUUGCCUUUUC